AGAGUUUGAUCCUGGCUCAGAUUGAACGCUGGCGGCAUGCUUUACACAUGCAAGUCGGACGGCAGCACAGAGAAGCUUGCUUCUUGGGUGGCGAGUGGCGAACGGGUGAGUAAUAUAUCGGAACGUACCGAGUAAUGGGGGAUAACUAAUCGAAAGAUUAGCUAAUACCGCAUAUUCUCUGAGGAGGAAAGCAGGGGACCUUCGGGCCUUGCGUUAUUCGAGCGGCCGAUAUCUGAUUAGCUAGUUGGUGGGGUAAAGGCCUACCAAGGCGACGAUCAGUAGCGGGUUUGAGAGGAAGAUCCGCCACACUGGGACUGAGACACGGCCCAGACUCCUACGGGAGGCAGCAGUGGGGAAUUUUGGACAAUGGGCGCAAGCCUGAUCCAGCCAUGCCGCGUGUCUGAAGAAGGCCUUCGGGUUGUAAAGGACUUUUGUCAGGGAAGAAAAGGCUGUUGCUAAUACCGACAGCUGAUGACGGUACCUGAAGAAUAAGCACCGGCUAACUACGUGCCAGCAGCCGCGGUAAUACGUAGGGUGCGAGCGUUAAUCGGAAUUACUGGGCGUAAAGCGAGCGCAGACGGUUACUUAAGCAGGAUGUGAAAUCCCCGGGCUCAACCUGGGAACUGCGUUCUGAACUGGGUGACUAGAGUGUGUCAGAGGGAGGUAGAAUUCCACGUGUAGCAGUGAAAUGCGUAGAGAUGUGGAGGAAUACCGAUGGCGAAGGCAGCCUCCUGGGAUAACACUGACGUUCAUGCUCGAAAGCGUGGGUAGCAAACCAGGAUUAGAUACCCUGGUAGUCCACGCCCUAAACGAUGUCA
RNAcentral lists this ribosomal RNA (818 nucleotides) under uncultured bacterium. Its description in RNAcentral is "bacterial SSU rRNA". It matches the Rfam family "Bacterial small subunit ribosomal RNA", at positions 8 to 814 of the family's 1533-position model. The record is from RNAcentral.